Long non-coding RNA from Xiphophorus hellerii (green swordtail), 739 nucleotides. RefSeq lists it as uncharacterized. The transcript has 3 exons. The record is from RefSeq and is a predicted model, not a curated record. Lineage: Eukaryota; Metazoa; Chordata; Actinopteri; Cyprinodontiformes; Poeciliidae.
UUACGAAAGUAGGCUGACAGGAAACGGGGAAGGAGAGGGGGGAAGACAUGCGGCAAAUGUCGCCGGGUCCGGGAGUCGAACCCCCCUACGCCAUCACGGCACGCCCGUCUUCCUUUCUCUUCCUUUGCUAACAGGGCUAGGCUAGGCUAGUUAGCUUAUGUUAUUAUUUAGUUUUUCUUCUGUUUUAUUCCUAAGUUGUUCGUCACAACCAUGAUGUGUCAAUACCAUAACUGACAAUUUACUAAAUUUUGUUGAAGUUUUGUGAACUAAAUGUUUAAUUUCUGUAAACUGUAAAGAUUUCGUGAACCUGAUGAGCUACAAUAUGGCCUCCUUCAGAAUAACAUGGUAUUGAGGUAGUUUGGCAUUUUGUCGACUCCAUCAGUUUUUAACUGACAUUGUGACUCUUUCAGUUAUAAUGUUGACAAAUCUCACUUAAAUGUGCAGUUAGUUCAUUUUAAUUCAUUUUACAUAAAUGUCAUUACUUCACAUGUAUCAAGUUUUUCUUUUUACUCACUAGUUUGUCAAAACCUUCAGUUCUGUGUUAACUCCGUCAGAUGGACUUUAUGUUGUUUUUUGUUUUAUUUCUUUUGUUUCUUGAGAAACAUUUGUCUGUAAAACUGAGUAAAAAUAUCACUAAUAGGGUCAUUAAAACAUAAUUUUAUAUUUAUUUUUGUCAAAUGGUGUUGACAAAGUUCUGGGUCAGGUCCAUUAAAAAUUUUACUUUUAACACAAUGUUGCA